This is a long non-coding RNA of Salvelinus fontinalis (brook trout), 1213 nucleotides long. RefSeq lists it as uncharacterized. The transcript has 3 exons. Lineage: Eukaryota; Metazoa; Chordata; Actinopteri; Salmoniformes; Salmonidae. The record is from RefSeq and is a predicted model, not a curated record.
UGGUUGCACCAGCAUGUUGUUUGACUGAACUCCACUUGGUUUCUUUCUUCGCUCACACUCCUCUCCUGCCUACCUGGUUGCCUGCCUCAUGACAAAGCAAACACACAUUUUCAUGGACAACAAGAUUUUUGAAUAUUCGCAUGAACAUCGGUUGCCAAUUGGAUGGAAACCUAGCUACUGAAUAAAUGUGUUUGGCACAAGAUAAGGAAGAUGAAACAAUCUACUGCUGCAACCCAAGGCCAACAGAUACUGAAGUUCCUGAAAAGGCAAUCAGUUCCUACAGUGAGCGCCUGGGAACCAGCCUCUGUCAGAUGGAGACCAGGACAACACAAAGUUAAAUUUACACAAACUUUUUUACAAAGUUUACUGGGUAUAGUGUUAAAUGUAACCUUGCCUUGUUACAAAGUCUACUUUGUAUAGUGUUAAAUGUAACCUUGCCUUGUUACAAAGUCUACAGUGUAUAGUGUUAAAUGUAACCCUGCAUUGUUCCAAAGUCUACAUUGUACAGUGUUAAAUGUAACCCUGCCUUGUUACAAAGUCUACUGUGUAUAGAGUUAAAUGUAACCCUGCCUUACAUAAAGCUUACAGAAUUAAUAAUUGCAGAAGAGCACUGUGAUCUGAGGAACAAAUAAUAGGUUUUAUGAAAAAACAAAAAUACUUUUCAACAUUGAAACCUGUCUUGAAACCUGUCUGUCUGUCUUGUUUAUCAAGUCAACUGCUUAACAUUGUGUGUAUAGAGUGAAAUUAAUAUUUAAAGACAUUGUAACCAUUCUUUGGCAUAAUGCUCAGCCCUGCUAUAGUAGUUCACUAAACUACAGAGUAUGUUGUCCAUUGAAGUUGUCUGUAGCUCUUUUGAUAUCAGAUUCAGAAGGAAUAAUAACAAGUUUUGUGAUGGUUUGAUCCACCUUAGUCCAGGAGUGUUUCCAAUUCACAUGACCUGAUGAAAAGGGAAGCUAUCGAAAAUAAUAAUAUUUUGUCAUAGCCUACGAAUAGGAUGCAAAGUUUUACCUGACCAGGUCAUGAGGAAAAACUCCAGGCCCCUACCAGCUUUCUUAAAAUCAAAUUAACUGCACUUGAAUAUUGCCAUACAUUUAAAAAUCUAUUGAAAAUUAAACACACUAAAUGUGUGAUUAAUUUAAAUAAUUCCAUUCAAUUAAAAUAUGUUUGGCACAAUGGCUAUGGCUAUUAAUGGCUAUUUUUAUGCCUCACCAUA